AGUUUUUUGGUUUUUAAUAAAAAAUAUUUUCUGCUCGGUGUUUGUUAAACAGCCGCGGUAAUUUGACCGUGCAAAGGUAGCAUAAUCAUUUGCUUCAUAAUUGGGGGCUAGAAUGAAUGGGAUUACAAGACACUUACUUUAUUGGGAAGAAAAUAAUAAAUUGCUUUUUUAGUGAAGAAGCUGGAAUGAAGCUAUAAGACAAGAAGACCCUUUUGAGCUUUAUUGAUUUAUUAGUUUUUUACUUUUGUGCAAUUUGGUUGGGGCGACCAAGGAAGGGUUAAUCUUCCUUUAAAUUAUAGUGAUCCAAAGAUUUUGAUUGUUAGAUUAAGUUACCAAAGGGAUAACAGCGUAAUUUUUUUUGAGAGUUCUUAUUAAAAAAAAAGAUUGCGACCUCGAUGUUGACUUAUAAUUUCCUUUUGGUGUAGAAGCUAUUAGGGUAGGUCUGUUCGACCUUUAAAAUUUU
Molecule: ribosomal RNA, 463 nt
Filed under: Tetrastemma cupido
Lineage: Eukaryota; Metazoa; Nemertea; Enopla; Monostilifera; Tetrastemmatidae
Description: partial large subunit ribosomal RNA
Rfam family: Bacterial large subunit ribosomal RNA
Source: RNAcentral